UACGUAGGGGGCAAGCGUUAUCCGGAUUUACUGGGUGUAAAGGGAGCGUAGGUGGCGUGCCAAGUCAGGGGUGAAAUCCCACGGCCCAACCGUGGAACUGCCUUUGAAACUGUAGAGCUUGAGUGUCGGAGAGGGUGGCGGAAUUCCAGGUGUAGGAGUGAAAUCCGUAGAUAUCUGGAGGAACACCGGUGGCGAAGGCGGCCACCUGGACGACAACUGACGCUGAGGUGCGAAAGCGUGGGUAGCAAACAGG
Molecule: ribosomal RNA, 253 nt
Filed under: uncultured Bilophila sp.
Lineage: Bacteria; Pseudomonadati; Thermodesulfobacteriota; Desulfovibrionia; Desulfovibrionales; Desulfovibrionaceae
Description: partial 16S ribosomal RNA
Rfam family: Bacterial small subunit ribosomal RNA
Source: RNAcentral